GACGAACGCUGGCGGCGUGCUUAACACAUGCAAGUCGAACGGAAAGGCCCUGCUUUUGUGGGGUGCUCGAGUGGCGAACGGGUGAGUAACACGUGAGUAACCUGCCCUUGACUUUGGGAUAACUUCAGGAAACUGGGGCUAAUACCGGAUAGGAGCUCCUGCUGCAUGGUGGGGGUUGGAAAGUUUCGGCGGUUGGGGAUGGACUCGCGGCUUAUCAGCUUGUUGGUGGGGUAGUGGCUUACCAAGGCUUUGACGGGUAGCCGGCCUGAGAGGGUGACCGGCCACGUUGGGACUGAGAUACGGCCCAGACUCCUACGGGAGGCAGCAGUGGGGAAUAUUGCACAAUGGGCGGAAGCCUGAUGCAGCAACGCCGCGUGCGGGAUGACGGCCUUCGGGUUGUAAACCGCUUUCGCCUGUGACGAAGCGUGAGUGACGGUAAUGGGUAAAGAAGCACCGGCUAACUACGUGCCAGCAGCCGCGGUGAUACGUAGGGUGCGAGCGUUGUCCGGAUUUAUUGGGCGCAAAGGGCUCGUAGGUGGUUGAUCGCGUCGGAAGUGUAAUCUUGGGGCUUAACCCUGAGCGUGCUUUCGAUACGGGUUGACUUGAGGAAGGUAGGGGAGAAUGGAAUUCCUGGUGGAGCGGUGGAAUGCGCAGAUAUCAGGAGGAACACCAGUGGCGAAGGCGGUUCUCUGGGCCUUUCCUGACGCUGAGGAGCGAAAGCGUGGGGAGCGAACAGGCUUAGAUACCCUGGUAGUCCACGCUGUAAACGGUGGGUACUAGGUGUGGGGUCCAUUCCACGGGUUCCGUGCCGUAGCUAACGCUUUAAGUACCCCGCCUGGGGAGUACGGCCGCAAGGCUAAAACUCAAAGGAAUUGACGGGGCCCCGCACAAGCGGCGGAGCAUGCGGAUUAAUUCGAUGCAACGCGUAGAACCUUACCUGGGUUUGACAUGGAUCGGGAGUGCUCAGAGAUGGGUGUGCCUCUUUUGGGGUCGGUUCACAGGUGGUGCAUGGCUGUCGUCAGCUCGUGUCGUGAGAUGUUGGGUUAAGUCCCGCAACGAGCGCAACCCUUGUUCACUGUUGCCAGCACGUUAUGGUGGGGACUCAGUGGAGACCGCCGGGGUCAACUCGGAGGAAGGUGGGGAUGACGUCAAGUCAUCAUGCCCCUUAUGUCCAGGGCUUCACGCAUGCUACAAUGGCUGGUACAGAGAGUGGCGAGCCUGUGAGGGUGAGCGAAUCUCGGAAAGCCGGUCUCAGUUCGGAUUGGGGUCUGCAACUCGACCUCAUGAAGUCGGAGUCGCUAGUAAUCGCAGAUCAGCAACGCUGCGGUGAAUACGUUCCCGGG
Molecule: ribosomal RNA, 1343 nt
Filed under: uncultured bacterium
Lineage: Bacteria
Description: 16S ribosomal RNA
Rfam family: Bacterial small subunit ribosomal RNA
Source: RNAcentral